GGGUUGUGAGGUUAAGCGACUAAGCGUACACGGUGGAUGCCCUGGCAGUCAGAGGCGAUGAAGGACGUGCUAAUCUGCGAAAAGCGUCGGUAAGGUGAUAUGAACCGUUACAGCCGGCGAUGUCCGAAUGGGGAAACCCAGUGCAAUUCGUUGCACUAUCGUUAACUGAAUACAUAGGUUAACGAGGCGAACCGGGGGAACUGAAACAUCUAAGUACCCCGAGGAAAAGAAAUCAACCGAGAUUCCCCCAGUAGCGGCGAGCGAACGGGGAGCAGCCCAGAGUCUGAAUCAGCUUGUGUGUUAGUGGAACGGUCUGGAAAGUCCGACGGUACAGGGUGAUAGUCCCGUACACCAAAAUGCACAGGCUGUGAACUCGAAGAGUAGGGCGGGACACGUGGUAUCCUGUCUGAAUAUGGGGGGACCAUCCUCCAAGGCUAAAUACUCCUGACUGACCGAUAGUGAACCAGUACCGUGAGGGAAAGGCGAAAAGAACCCCGGCGAGGGAGUGAAAAAGAACCUGAAACCGUGUACGUACAAGCAGUGGGAGCACCUUCGGGUGUGACUGCGUACCUUUGUAUAAUGGGUCAGCGACUUAUAUUCUGUAGCAAGGUUAACCGUAUAGGGAGCCGCAGGAAACCGAGUCUUAACUGGGCGUUAAGUUGCAGGGUAUAGACCCGAAACCCGGUGAUUCAGCCAUGGGCAGGUUGAAGGUUGGGUAACACUAACUGGAGGACCGAACCGACUAAUGUUGAAAAAUUAGCGGAUGACUUGUGGCUGGGGUGAAAGGCCAAUCAAACCGGGAGAUAGCUGGUUCUCCCGGAAGCUAUUUAGGUAGCGCCUCGUGAACUCAUCUUCGGGGUAGAGCACUGUUUCGGCUAGGGGUCAUCCCGACUUACCAACCCGAUGCAAACUACGAAUACCGAAGAAUGUUAUCACGGGAGACACACGGCGGGUGCUAACGUCCGUCGUGAAGAGGGAAACAACCCAGACCGCCAGCUAAGGUCCCAAAGUCAUGGUUAAGUGGGAAACGAUGUGGGAAGGCACAGACAGCCAGGAUGUUGGCUUAGAAGCAGCCAUCAUUUAAAGAAAGCGUAAUAGCUCACUGGUCGAGUCGGCCUGCGCGGAAGAUGUAACGGGGCUAAACCAUGCACCGAAGCUGCGGCAGCGACACUAUGUGUUGUUGGGUAGGGGAGCGUUCUGUAAGCCUGCGAAGGUGUGCUGUGAGGCAUGCUGGAGGUAUCAGAAGUGCGAAUGCUGACAUAAGUAACGAUAAAGCGGGUGAAAAGCCCGCUCGCCGGAAGACCAAGGGUUCCUGUCCAACGUUAAUCGGGGCAGGGUGAGUCGACCCCUAAGGCGAGGCCGAAAGGCGUAGUCGAUGGGAAACAGGUUAAUAUUCCUGUACUUGGUGUUACUGCGAAGGGGGGACGGAGAAGGCUAUGUUAGCCGGGCGACGGUUGUCCCGGUUUAAGCAUGUAGGCUGGUUGUCCAGGCAAAUCCGGAUAAUCAAGGCUGAGGUGUGAUGACGAGGCACUUACGGUGCUGAAGUAACAAAUGCCCUGCUUCCAGGAAAAGCCUCUAAGCAUCAGGUAACAUUAAAUCGUACCCCAAACCGACACAGGUGGUCAGGUAGAGAAUACCAAGGCGCUUGAGAGAACUCGGGUGAAGGAACUAGGCAAAAUGGUGCCGUAACUUCGGGAGAAGGCACGCUGGUGUGUAGGUGAAGUCCCUGCGGAUGGAGCUGAGACCAGUCGAAGAUACCAGCUGGCUGCAACUGUUUAUUAAAAACACAGCACUGUGCAAACACGAAAGUGGACGUAUACGGUGUGACGCCUGCCCGGUGCCGGAAGGUUAAUUGAUGGGGUUAUCCGUAAGGAGAAGCUCUUGAUCGAAGCCCCGGUAAACGGCGGCCGUAACUAUAACGGUCCUAAGGUAGCGAAAUUCCUUGUCGGGUAAGUUCCGACCUGCACGAAUGGCGUAAUGAUGGCCAGGCUGUCUCCACCCGAGACUCAGUGAAAUUGAACUCGCUGUGAAGAUGCAGUGUACCCGCGGCAAGACGGAAAGACCCCGUGAACCUUUACUAUAGCUUGACACUGAACAUUGAGCCUUGAUGUGUAGGAUAGGUGGGAGGCUUUGAAGCGUGGACGCCAGUCUGCGUGGAGCCAACCUUGAAAUACCACCCUUUAAUGUUUGAUGUUCUAACGUUGGCCCUUACCGGGGUUGCGGACAGUGUCUGGUGGGUAGUUUGACUGGGGCGGUCUCCUCCCAAAGCGUAACGGAGGAGCACGAAGGUUAGCUAAUCCUGGUCGGACAUCAGGAGGUUAGUGCAAUGGCAUAAGCUAGCUUGACUGCGAGCGUGACGGCGCGAGCAGGUGCGAAAGCAGGUCAUAGUGAUCCGGUGGUUCUGAAUGGAAGGGCCAUCGCUCAACGGAUAAAAGGUACUCCGGGGAUAACAGGCUGAUACCGCCCAAGAGUUCAUAUCGACGGCGGUGUUUGGCACCUCGAUGUCGGCUCAUCACAUCCCGGGCUGAAGUAGGUCCCAAGGGUAUGGCUGUUCGCCAUUUAAAGUGGUACGCGAGCUGGGUUUAGAACGUCGUGAGACAGUUCGGUCCCUAUCUGCCGUGGGCGCUGGAGAAUUGAGGGGGGCUGCUCCUAGUACGAGAGGACCGGAGUGGACGCAUCACUGGUGUUCGGGUUGUCAUGCCAAUGGCACUGCCCGGUAGCUAAAUGCGGAAGAGAUAAGUGCUGAAAGCAUCUAAGCACGAAACUUGCCCCGAGAUGAGUUCUCCCUGAGACUUUAAGUCUCCUGAAGGAACGUUGAAGACGACGACGUUGAUAGGCCGGGUGUGUAAGCGCAGCGAUGCGUUGAGCUAACCGGUACUAAUGAACCGUGAGGCUUAACCUUACAACGCCGAAG
Molecule: ribosomal RNA, 2914 nt
Filed under: Klebsiella pneumoniae
Lineage: Bacteria; Pseudomonadati; Pseudomonadota; Gammaproteobacteria; Enterobacterales; Enterobacteriaceae
Description: 23S ribosomal RNA
Rfam family: Bacterial large subunit ribosomal RNA
Source: RNAcentral